Molecule: ribosomal RNA, 492 nt
Filed under: uncultured bacterium
Lineage: Bacteria
Description: partial 16S ribosomal RNA
Rfam family: Bacterial small subunit ribosomal RNA
Source: RNAcentral
AGUGAACGCUGGCGGUAGGCCUAACACAUGCAAGUCGAACGGCAGCACAGUAAGAGCUUGCUCUUACGGGUGGCGAGUGGCGGACGGGUGAGGAAUACAUCGGAAUCUACUUUUUCGUGGGGGAUAACGUAGGGAAACUUACGCUAAUACCGCAUACGACCUACGGGUGAAAGCAGGGGAUCUUCGGACCUUGCGCGAUUGAAUGAGCCGAUGUCGGAUUAGCUAGUUGGCGGGGUAAAGGCCCACCAAGGCGACGAUCCGUAGCUGGUCUGAGAGGAUGAUCAGCCACACUGGAACUGAGACACGGUCCAGACUCCUACGGGAGGCAGCAGUGGGGAAUAUUGGACAAAGGGCGCAAGCCUGAUCCAGCCAUACCGCGUGGGUGAAGAAGGCCUUCGGGUUGUAAAGCCCUUUUGUUGGGAAAGAAAAGCAGCAGGUUAAUACCCAGCUGUUCCGACGGUACCCAAAGAAUAAGCACCGGCUAACUUCGUG